AGCGGAUCGAUGCGGCGCGCCACAUGGAUUUUAUUUCUUUCCUUCCUCGUCCACUUUACGCAAGCACAAGUGUUUAUUGUGCUGACCGCUUGGAUUUGUGAUCUUCGCCGACUCACAGCGCUGCAGCUCGACCACAAACACAGGAAGUUAACGUCGGGGGCCAUUUAAUAAGGACUAAAGCCACAGCCUGGUGCUGUAGCUGAUGCUGUAAUGAUUAAUGAGGGCCAGGCCUCAGCCUCAGUGGUGGUAUCUCUGUUGAAUUAGCCUCUGAUUACGCCUGGCUGGGUCAUACAUGACUAAUGGCUCCAGGGCCUAAUUCAUUCUUCCUUGAGCCAGGCCAUGUGGUACAACUACUGAAUGUGUUUGAUCUGACAUCCAUUAUAAAAGCUGAUGUGCCGUCUGUA
Molecule: non-coding RNA, 404 nt
Organism: Paralichthys olivaceus (Japanese flounder)
Lineage: Eukaryota; Metazoa; Chordata; Actinopteri; Pleuronectiformes; Paralichthyidae
Source: RefSeq, a predicted model, not a curated record